This 246-nucleotide ribosomal RNA is filed under the name uncultured Thauera sp. RNAcentral's name for it is "partial 16S ribosomal RNA". It matches the Rfam family "Bacterial small subunit ribosomal RNA", at positions 1137 to 1382 of the family's 1533-position model. Lineage: Bacteria; Pseudomonadati; Pseudomonadota; Betaproteobacteria; Rhodocyclales; Zoogloeaceae. The record is from RNAcentral.
ACUCUAGUGAGGACUGCCGGUGACAAACCGGAGGAAGUGGGGAUGACGUCAAGUCCUCAUGGCCCUUAUGGGUAGGGCUUCACACGUCAUACAAUGGUCGGUACAGAGGGUUGCCAAGCCGCGAGGUGGAGCCAAUCCCUUAAAGCCGAUCGUAGUCCGGAUCGUAGUCUGCAACUCGACUACGUGAAGUCGGAAUCGCUAGUAAUCGCAGAUCAGCAUGCUGCGGUGAAUACGUUCCCGGGUCUU